Molecule: ribosomal RNA, 253 nt
Filed under: uncultured bacterium
Lineage: Bacteria
Description: partial 16S ribosomal RNA
Rfam family: Bacterial small subunit ribosomal RNA
Source: RNAcentral
UACGGGGGGAGCAAGCGUUGUUCGGAUUUACUGGGCGUAAAGCGUGCGCAGGCGGUUUUGUAAGACAGAGGUGAAAUCCCCGGGCUCAACCUGGGAACUGCCUUUGUGACUGCAAGGCUUGAGUGCGGCAGAGGGGGAUGGAAUUCCGCGUGUAGCAGUGAAAUGCGUAGAUAUGCGGAGGAACACCGAUGGCGAAGGCAAUCCCCUGGGCCUGCACUGACGCUCAUGCACGAAAGCGUGGGGAGCAAACAGG